CGCCUGUAGAAACCUCUAUUACAGGUCAAUCCUGCCCAGUGAAAGUUUUAAACGGCUGCGGUACCCUGACCGUACAAAGGUAGCAUAAUCAUUUGCCCCCUAAUUAGGGGCUAGUAUGAAUGGACAAACGAGAUUAUCCCUGUCUCCAGCAUAACCCCAUAAAUUUAUCUACAGGUGAAGAAGCCUGUAUAAAAAUAAAAGACAAGAAGACCCUGUCGAGCUUUAAUCAUGGCUAAAACACUAUAAACCCCCUUACAAUAUAUUCUUUUAUCCCUGAUUUUUGUUGGGGCGACAAUGGAAUACACUAACCCUCCACCACACCAAAGACAUCAAGUCCUCCCAAAGAUCCUCAAACGACAUCCGGAAAUAGCUACCGCAGGGAUAACAGACUAAUCCCUUUCAAGAGCCCAAAUCUACAAAGGGGCUUGGCACCUCGAUGUUGGCUUAGGAUCCCUCUUAGAUGCAGAAAUCUAUUACGUAGGUUUGUUCAACCUUUAAUAUCCU
RNAcentral lists this ribosomal RNA (504 nucleotides) under Palola sp. AS-2005. Its description in RNAcentral is "partial 16S ribosomal RNA". It matches the Rfam family "Archaeal large subunit ribosomal RNA", at positions 1920 to 2666 of the family's 2987-position model. The record is from RNAcentral. Lineage: Eukaryota; Metazoa; Annelida; Polychaeta; Eunicida; Eunicidae.